CCCAGUGAACGGCGGCCGUAACUAUAACGGUCCUAAGGUAGCGAAAUUCCUUGUCAGGUAAGUUCUGACCCGCAUGAAAGGCGUAAUGAUUUGGGCACUGUCUCAACAGCCCGCCCGGCGAAAUUGUAGUACCGGUGAAGAUGCCGGUUACCCGCGACAAGACGGAAAGACCCCAUGGAGCUUUACUGUAGCCUAAUAUUGGGUUUCGAUGUUGCAUGCACAGGAUAGAUGGGACACUGGGAAACAAUCGCUUUGGCGGUUGCGGAGUGGCCGUUGGGAUACCAUCCUUGCGAUAUUGGAAUUCUAACCUGCGGCUCUGAAUCGAGUCGGGGGACAUUGUUAGGUGGGCAGUUUGACUGGGGCGGUCGCCUCCUAAAAAGUAACGGAGGCGUUCAAAGGUUCGCUCAGCUUGAACGGAAAUCAAGCAAAAGAGUGCAAACGCAGAAGCGAGCCUAACUGCGAGACUGACGGGUCGAGCAGUAACGAAAGUUGGAGUUAGUGAUCCGGUGGUAUGUGAGUGGAAAUGCCAUCGCUCAACGGAUAAAAGUUACCCUGGGGAUAACAGGCUGAUCUCCCCCAAGAGUCCACAUCGACGGGGAGGUUUGGCACCUCGAUGUCGGCUCAUCGCAUCCUGGGGCUGUAUUCGGUCCCAAGGGUUUGGCUGUUCGCCAAUUAAAGCGGUACGCGAGCUGGGUUCAGAACGUCGUGAGACAGUUCGGUCCCUAUCUGUCGUGGGCGCAGGAUAUUUGAUGGGAGCUGUCCCUAGUACGAGAGGACCGGGACGGACGUACCUCUGGCGCACCAGUUGUUCCGCCAGGAGCAUAGCUGGGCAACUACGUACGGAUCGGAUAAACGCUGAAAGCAUCUAAGCGUGAAGCCGACCCAAAGAUAAGAUAUCCCACUGAUUUGAUCAGGUAAGACCCCUUGAAGACUACAAGGUCGAUAGGCACGAUGUGUAAGUGGAGUGAUCCAUUCAGCAAGCGUGUACUAAUAGGUCGAGGGCUUGACCAC
Molecule: ribosomal RNA, 1011 nt
Filed under: human gut metagenome
Description: bacterial LSU rRNA
Rfam family: Bacterial large subunit ribosomal RNA
Source: RNAcentral